GUUCAGGGGUAAACCUGAGAAACCCAAAAGAUCGAAUGGGGAGANUCAUCGUCAGCUCAUUUUGUAUAUGUAUAAGUUAUGAUGCGGGUUACUACUUGUAGUAUUGCCUGCACAUUCUUGUAUAUUUAGUUGCAAGAUGUUGUCGGCGUGCACUUCUCCCCUAGUAGGACGUCGCGACCUGUUGGGUGUCGGUCUACGGCCCAAGUGAUAGCCUUUAAUGUAAUUUAAAAAGCAUUGAAGAUCCUUGGUGUUUUCUGACCGGCUACUUGGCAGUAUUCGUACGGUAUUUAGCCGCUAAAUUUAUUAAGCGUCCGUAUCCGUCACAAGCGA
Molecule: ribosomal RNA, 330 nt
Filed under: Aleiodes sp. BIOUG14801-D01
Lineage: Eukaryota; Metazoa; Arthropoda; Insecta; Hymenoptera; Braconidae
Description: partial 28S ribosomal RNA
Source: RNAcentral